Molecule: long non-coding RNA, 797 nt
Filed under: Phoenix dactylifera (date palm)
Lineage: Eukaryota; Viridiplantae; Streptophyta; Magnoliopsida; Arecales; Arecaceae
Description: long non-coding RNA (PDAC_LNC018139)
Source: RNAcentral
CAUGCGGACUCGAUUAGACUUCUUGUCACAUAAAUACAGGACGACAACUGCGGAACAAGAAUGAUUUAGGACGAUGCAAUCCAACCAUUAUCAACAGAAUCUAGGCCGGCAAUAAUAACUGUAUGAAGGGAUGGAUUGUAAGAGAGUAGGUAAAAUGGAGGUGUGAUACUUGGACUCUAAUGAGGUCUUAGUGUUUGCUGUAGGUGGCUUUGGUGCAUCAAGGGGACGGGGAAAAGAAUUAUUAGCAGAUUUUUUAGCCUUUGCAAAGUUGGCUGGAGUUAGUUUCCUCCAACUCAAAUAAAGAAAGCCUAAGCCAUCAAGGUGGUAGUACAGUUGGAACGGAGCUAAAGUUUCACCAGAGUGAUCCAAGUUCGAAACAUGCGGGCGUCGAUUAAACGUGGAGACCGGAUGCUCUCUGCCCGAUUUGUCAGGUGGAAUUGACAUCUGGUCCGCAGGUACUGAGGUGGUAUUGGGAUGACGUACUCACACGUGGAUAAUGAACCCUGUGGGAGGAACUUACGGGUCGAAAAGGGUAUUCGAAAACUUAUGGCAUGCAUCGAUCAUUUUUUGGUGGAAGGAGGCCCAGUGAGAGCUGCUACGCGGGUGAGGUUUCCUCUCCCCCCUCCUAUUUUUUUACCUAAGGUUUCGGAGUUGGGCCAUUCGUGUUAUAUCUCUCCAUUCUCUUUCCCCCUUAAAAAAAAAAAAAAAAAGUCAUUCUCGAAAUAUACUUACCCGAGUCUUUAAAAAAUGGAGCAUACUUGGCUUCUUUUUCUCUCAACGAAACUUAGUAGAAAAAA